GACGAACGCUGGCGGCGUGCUUAACACAUGCAAGUCGAACGCUGAAGCUCAGCUUUUGUUGGGUGGAUGAGUGGCGAACGGGUGAGUAACACGUGAGUAACCUGCCCCCUUCUUUGGGGUAACGCCCGGAAACGGGUGCUAAUACUGGAUAUUCACUGGUCUUCGCAUGGGGGUUGGUGGAAAGGGUUUUUCUGGUGGGGGAUGGGCUCGCGGCCUAUCAGCUUGUUGGUGGGGUGAUGGCCUACCAAGGCUUUGACGGGUAGCCGGCCUGAGAGGGUGACCGGUCACAUUGGGACUGAGAUACGGCCCAGACUCCUACGGGGGGCAGCAGUGGGGAAUAUGGCACAAUGGGCGCAAGCCUGAUGCAGCGACGCCGCGUGAGGGAUGGAGGCCUUCGGGUUGUGAACCUCUUUCGCUCAUGGUCAAGCCGCAACAAUGGUUGUGGUGAGGGUAGUGGGUAAAGAAGCGCCGGCUAACUACGUG
Molecule: ribosomal RNA, 483 nt
Filed under: uncultured bacterium
Lineage: Bacteria
Description: partial 16S ribosomal RNA
Rfam family: Bacterial small subunit ribosomal RNA
Source: RNAcentral